Molecule: long non-coding RNA, 1133 nt
Filed under: Nothobranchius furzeri (turquoise killifish)
Lineage: Eukaryota; Metazoa; Chordata; Actinopteri; Cyprinodontiformes; Nothobranchiidae
Description: lncRNA (ENSNFUG00015022010.1)
Source: RNAcentral
GGUACAAAGCGACGCAUCAGCGGCCCGCCAUGGGAGAAAGCUGUCAACGCCGCCGCCCAGCUGGCAGUGCCCGGGGUUCCCGCGGGGCCCGCGGACGACUGAAGCAGGGAGCUGAGGAUGCUGAGGGAUGACAAGCGAAACCUGGAGGAGUGAAGGACUUCUUCAGUCUCUGAUUGAGCUGGUUGGACCUCUGUCAACAAGAUGAAUAGUUGGCUCGGGAUCAAAGGCGGACUCCAAGCGGCCAUUCUGGCCACUGCAAAGGGGCGUUUGGUGCUGGCGCAGGGCCAGGUGCUACUCUCGGCCACGCAGGGACAAGCCGUGCAGAUGGACUCUGCAGAGGCCCUGUUGCCGCCCCCGACCUCUACCACCCAGCCGAAUACCAGAGACCGCAGAUCUGAGCGACACCGGCUGCCUGUGAAACUGAACCAGCUGAGGCCUGCCAACGGUCUGAUAGCAAGAUUGGAGACAGACCAAAGACGCACCCGGAGGACUGGUCCAGAACUCCAUUAUCUCAGCUGCAAGGAAUAAGAAAUGCAAUUUAAAACACCCAAAACAAGGUGUGUCACACCUCAGCAAUGCUGGCUUCUAAAUAUCAUCAUGCACUACACAAAUUUCUCCUCGUCAAAGUCUUAUCACGCUCACCCAGUUGGCACGGAAUCAUCAAGGGCCUUCUUUCCUGGUGUUGGCCAAUCACAAUCCAUUGUCAGUUCGUCAUUAGGGGACGAGCCCAAGCGAUAAAAGAUGUGUGACGGGGGAAAAAAAGCAAAUAGAACCCUCAGUGAUGUCUUUAUUAUCUCCCAGCGAUGCGGCCUGUGUAAAAAGGCCAGGGUUAAUUACUGUUGAUUAGACGUCAACGCGCGGUGAAGAGGGAGCAUUCAGACCUCACAGAGGAGACCACAGAGACAGAAGAGGGGAGGACGAGGUCGCUCACAGACACGGAUGUGAAAUGAGUGUCAAGUGGUCCUCCUUAGUGAGUUCAACAGGGUGGGAGGCAGGCGAGGAAUGACAAAGCAUCAUGAAAGUGUAUUCAAUAUGUGCGUGCGUGCGUGUGUGUAUGUGUGUGUGUGUGUGUGUGUGUGUGUGUGUGCGUGCGUGCGUGCGUGCGUGUGUGUGUGUGUGUGUGUGUGUGUGUG